This 69-nucleotide transfer RNA is filed under the name Nyctiophylax orbicularis. RNAcentral's name for it is "tRNA-Leu". The record is from RNAcentral. Lineage: Eukaryota; Metazoa; Arthropoda; Insecta; Trichoptera; Polycentropodidae.
ACUAUUUUGGCAGAUUAAUUGCAUUAAUUUUAGAAAUUAAUUUAUAUAUAAUUUUUUAUAUAAAUAGUA